AGUGAACGCUGGCGGUAGGCCUAACACAUGCAAGUCGAACGGCAGCACAGGAGAGCUUGCUCUCUGGGUGGCGAGUGGCGAACGGGUGAGGAAUACAUCGGAAUCUACUUUUUCGUGGGGGAUAACGUAGGGAAACUUACGCUAAUACCGCAUACGACCUACGGGUGAAAGCAGGGGAUCUUCGGACCUUGCGCGAUUGAAUGAGCCGAUGUCGGAUUAGCUAGUUGGCGGGGUAAAGGCCCACCGAGGCGACGAUCCGUAGCUGGUCUGAGAGGAUGAUCAGCCACACUGGAACUGAGACACGGUCCAGACUCCUACGGGAGGCAGCAGUGGGGAAUAUUGGACAAUGGGCGCAAGCCUGAUCCAGCCAUACCGCGUGGGUGAAGAAGGCCUUCGGGUUGUAAAGCCCUUUUGUUGGGAAAGAAAUCCAGCUGGUUAAUACCCGGUUGGGAUGACGGUACCCAAAGAAUAAGCACCGGCUAACUUCGUGCCAGCCGCCGCAGUAA
Molecule: ribosomal RNA, 506 nt
Filed under: uncultured bacterium
Lineage: Bacteria
Description: partial 16S ribosomal RNA
Rfam family: Bacterial small subunit ribosomal RNA
Source: RNAcentral